UGGGGAAUAUUGGACAAUGGGCGGAAGCCUGAUCCAGCAACGCCGCGUGAGGGAUGACGGCCUUCGGGUUGUAAACCUCUUUCAGCACAGACGAAGCGCAAGUGACGGUAUGUGCAGAAGAAGGACCGGCCAACUACGUGCCAGCAGCCGCGGUAAUACGUAGGGUCCGAGCGUUGUCCGGAAUUAUUGGGCGUAAAGGGCUCGUAGGCGGUUUGUCGCGUCGGGAGUGAAAACACCGGGCUUAACUCGGUGCUUGCUUUCGAUACGGGCAGACUAGAGGCAUUCAGGGGAGAACGGAAUUCCUGGUGUAGCGGUGAAAUGCGCAGAUAUCAGGAGGAACACCGGUGGCGAAGGCGGUUCUCUGGGAAUGUCCUGACGCUGAGGAGCGAAAGUGUGGGGAGCGAACAGGAUUAGAUACCCUGGUAGUCCACACCGUAAACGUUGGGCGCUAGGUGUGGGAUCCAUUCCACGGGUUCCGUGCCGCAGCUAACGCAUUAAGCGCCCCGCCUGGGGAGUACGGCCGCAAGGCUAAAACUCAAAUGAAUUGACGGGGUCAUAGCUGUUUCCU
Molecule: ribosomal RNA, 568 nt
Filed under: uncultured bacterium
Lineage: Bacteria
Description: partial 16S ribosomal RNA
Rfam family: Bacterial small subunit ribosomal RNA
Source: RNAcentral